Molecule: ribosomal RNA, 443 nt
Filed under: uncultured bacterium
Lineage: Bacteria
Description: partial 16S ribosomal RNA
Rfam family: Bacterial small subunit ribosomal RNA
Source: RNAcentral
CCUACGGGUGGCAGCAGUGGGGAAUAUUGGGCAAUGGGCGCAAGCCUGACCCAGCAACGCCGCGUGAAGGAAGAAGGCUUUCGGGUUGUAAACUUCUUUUCUGAGGGACGAAGAAAGUGACGGUACCUCAGGACUAAGCCACGGCUAACUACUUGCCAGCAGCCGCGGUAAUACGUAGGUGGCAAGCGUUAUCCGGAUUUAUUGGGUGUAAAGGGCGUGUAGGGGGGAAAGCAAGUCAGAUGUGAAAACUCAGGGCUCAACCCUGAGCCUGCAUUUGAAACUGUUUUUCUUGAGUACUGGAGAGGCAGUCGGAAUUCCGAGUGUAGCGGUGAAAUGCGUAGAUAUAAGGAGGAACACCAGUGGCGAAGGCGGAUUGCUGGACAGUAACUGACGGUGAGGCGCGAAAGCGUGGGGAGCAAACAGGAUUAGAUACCCUAGUAGUC